This 590-nucleotide ribosomal RNA is filed under the name uncultured bacterium. Its description in RNAcentral is "bacterial SSU rRNA". It matches the Rfam family "Bacterial small subunit ribosomal RNA", at positions 338 to 943 of the family's 1533-position model. The record is from RNAcentral.
CCUACGGGAGGCAGCAGUGGGGAAUAUUGGACAAUGGGCGAAAGCCUGAUCCAGCAAUGCCGCGUGAGUGAUGAAGGCCUUCGGGUCGUAAAGCUCUUUUACCAGGGAUGAUAAUGACAGUACCUGGAGAAUAAGCUCCGGCUAACUCCGUGCCAGCAGCCGCGGUAAUACGGAGGGAGCUAGCGUUGUUCGGAAUUACUGGGCGUAAAGAGUACGUAGGCGGUUAUUCAAGUCAGAGGUGAAAGCCCGGGGCUCAACCCCGGAACUGCCUUUGAAACUAGAUAACUAGAGUCUUGGAGAGGUUAGUGGAAUUCCGAGUGUAGAGGUGAAAUUCGUAGAUAUUCGGAAGAACACCAGUGGCGAAGGCGACUAACUGGACAAGUACUGACGCUGAGGUACGAAAGCGUGGGGAGCAAACAGGAUUAGAUACCCUGGUAGUCCACGCCGUAAACGAUGAUAACUAGUUGUUCGGUCACUUGGUGACUGAGUGACGCAGCUAACGCAUUAAGUUAUCCGCCUGGGGAGUACGGUCGCAAGAUUAAAACUCAAAGAUAGACGCGNGNGAGNGCGACGACGACGACGAGGAGGAG